GCAGAACGCGAAGAACCUUACCAAGGCUUGACAUCCCCUUGACCGGCACAGAGAUGUGCCCUCUCCUUCGGGAGCAAGGGUGACAGGUGGUGCAUGGUUGUCGUCAGCUCGUGUCGUGAGAUGUUGGGUUAAGUCCCGCAACGAGCGCAACCCUUAUCCUUAGUUGCCAUCAUUAAGUUGGGCACUCUAAGGAGACUGCCGAUGAUAAAUCGGAGGAAGGUGGGGAUGACGUCAAAUCAUCAUGCCCCUUAUGUCUUGGGCUACACACGUGCUACAAUGGUCGGUACAAAGGGCAGCGAAGGAGUGAUCUGGAGCGAAUCCCAAUAAACCGAUCUCAGUUCGGAUUGUAGGCUGCAACUCGCCUACAUGAAGUCGGAGUUGCUAGUGAUCGCGAAUCAGAACGUCGCGGUGAAUGCGUUCCCGGGUCUUGUACACACCG
This 439-nucleotide ribosomal RNA is filed under the name uncultured bacterium. Its description in RNAcentral is "bacterial SSU rRNA". It matches the Rfam family "Bacterial small subunit ribosomal RNA", at positions 954 to 1392 of the family's 1533-position model. The record is from RNAcentral.